CCUACGGGUGGCAGCAGUGAGGAAUAUUGGUCAAUGGGCGUAAGCCUGAACCAGCCAAGUAGCGUGAGGGAUGAAGGUUCUAUGGAUCGUAAACCUCUUUUAUAAGGGAAUAAAGUGCGGGACGUGUCCCGUUUUGUAUGUACCUUAUGAAUAAGGAUCGGCUAACUCCGUGCCAGCAGCCGCGGUAAUACGGAGGAUCCGAGCGUUGUCCGGGUUUAUUGGGGUUAAAGGGUGCGUAGGUGGCCUUUAAGUCAGCGGUGAAAGUGUGUGGCUCAACCGUAGAAUUGCCGUUGAAACUGGGAGGCUUGAGUAUGUUAGAGGCGGGCGGAAUGCGUGGUGUAGCGGUGAAAUGCUUAGAUAUCACGCAGAACCCCGAUUGCGAAGGCAGCCUGC
This 393-nucleotide ribosomal RNA is filed under the name uncultured bacterium. RNAcentral's name for it is "partial 16S ribosomal RNA". It matches the Rfam family "Bacterial small subunit ribosomal RNA", at positions 338 to 729 of the family's 1533-position model. The record is from RNAcentral.